UACAGAGGGUGCAAGCGUUGUUCGGAAUUAUUGGGCGUAAAGCGCGUGUAGGCGGACUGGUGUGUCGGAUGUGAAAUCCCCAGGCUCAACCUGGGAACUGCAUCCGAUACUGGAUGGCUUGAAUCCGGGAGAGGGAUGCGGAAUUCCAGGUGUAGCGGUGAAAUGCGUAGAUAUCUGGAGGAACACCGGUGGCGAAGGCGGUUCUCUGGGCAUGUCCUGACGCUGAGGAGCGAAAGUGUGGGGAGCGAACAGG
Molecule: ribosomal RNA, 253 nt
Filed under: uncultured bacterium
Lineage: Bacteria
Description: partial 16S ribosomal RNA
Rfam family: Bacterial small subunit ribosomal RNA
Source: RNAcentral